GAUGAACGCUGGCGGCGUGCCUAAUACAUGCAAGUCGAGCGAACAGACGAGGCUCUUGCUCCUCUGACGUUAGCAGCGGACGGGUGAGUCACACGUGGAUAACCUACCUAUCUGACUUGGAUCACUUCGGGAAACCGUAGUUAAUACCGGAUACUAUAUUCAACCGCAUGGUUCAAUAGUGAAAUACGGUUUUGCUGUCACUUCUCGAUCGAUCCGCUCCGCAUUAGCUAGUUGGUACGGUAACGGCUUACCAAGGCAACGAGGCGUAGCCGACCUGAGAGGGUGAUCGGCCACACGGGAACUGAGACACGGUCCAGACGCCUAAGGGAGGCAGCAGUAGGGAAUCUGCCGCAAUGGGCGAAAGCCUGACGGAGCAACGCCGCGUGAGUGACGAAGGUCUUCGGAUCGUAAAACUCUGUUAUUAGGGAAGAACAAAUGUGUAAGGAACUAUGGACGUAUUGACGGUACCUAAUCAGAAAGCCACGGCUAACUACGUG
RNAcentral lists this ribosomal RNA (497 nucleotides) under uncultured bacterium. RNAcentral's name for it is "partial 16S ribosomal RNA". It matches the Rfam family "Bacterial small subunit ribosomal RNA", at positions 28 to 507 of the family's 1533-position model. The record is from RNAcentral.